This 148-nucleotide non-coding RNA is filed under the name Nomascus leucogenys (northern white-cheeked gibbon). The record is from Rfam by way of RNAcentral. Lineage: Eukaryota; Metazoa; Chordata; Mammalia; Primates; Hylobatidae.
GUCGGGUGUGGUGGCUCAUGCCUGUAAUCCCAGCUACUUGGGAGGCUGAGGCAGGAGAAUCGCUUGAACCCAGGAGGCGGAGGCUGCAGUGGGCCGAGAUCGCACCACUGCACUCCAGCCUGGGUGACAGAGUGAGACUCCGCCUCAA